UCGGGAAUUUUGUGCAAUGGGCGAAAGCCUGACCCAGCAACGCCGCGUGAAGGAUGAAGUAUUUCGGUAUGUAAACUUCGAAAGAAUAGGAAGAAUAAAUGACGGUACUAUUUAUAAGGUCCGGCUAACUACGUGCCAGCAGCCGCGGUAAUACGUAGGGACCAAGCGUUGUUCGGAUUUACUGGGCGUAAAGGGCGCGUAGGCGGCAAUUCAAGUCAUCUGUGAAAUCUCCGGGCUUAACUCGGAACGGUCAGAUGAUACUGCUUUGCUAGAGUGCAGAAGGGGCAAUCGGAAUUCUUGGUGUAGCGGUGAAAUGCGUAGAUAUCAAGAGGAACACCUGAGGUGAAGACGGGUUGCUGGGCUGACACUGACGCUGAGGCGCGAAAGCCAGGGGAGCAAACGGGAUUAGAUACCCACGUAGUCCCUGAGCGGGCUGGCAAGGCGCAU
RNAcentral lists this ribosomal RNA (447 nucleotides) under uncultured bacterium. Its description in RNAcentral is "bacterial SSU rRNA". It matches the Rfam family "Bacterial small subunit ribosomal RNA", at positions 355 to 825 of the family's 1533-position model. The record is from RNAcentral.